Long non-coding RNA from Amphimedon queenslandica, 430 nucleotides. RefSeq lists it as uncharacterized. The record is from RefSeq and is a predicted model, not a curated record. The transcript has 3 exons. NCBI's taxonomy places the organism in Eukaryota, Metazoa, Porifera, Demospongiae, Haplosclerida, Niphatidae.
GAAUACAUCCACAGAAAAUGAAGAUGGAGUUUAUGAAAGAAUGGGUGAUGAUCAGGUUUAUGAACAAUUAGAUGAACCUGAUCUGCUUGUUGCAAGAGAAAGUGCUGCUGACACUAGUAGUACAACAUAUGAAAAUACUACUACUGAGCCUAUUGUUACAGAGUCUGCUAGUCUUCAUGAAAAAGAAGAUGAUGAAAAUGUAUAUGAACUGACUGAUACUACUUCAUUGUAAUACCCAUCACAUACCCUUAUUUGGUGUGUAUGCUGUGCAGUUUUAUGAAUGUGCAUAUAAUAAAUUUUUAUACAUCAUUAGUUUAGUUUCAUUUAAUUAGGAAUGCAUAUUUAUUUCUAAUGUAGUCUUUAUGGUCUAAUGUAACAAUUUUACCAAUUUUUAAUUUUGUUUACAAUGUGUUACUCAAAAGUUUAAGUU